UAUAUUUUAGUGUAUGAUGCACAAAAAUUUUUGAUGUUUUUAGUAAUAGUUUAAAUCUAUUAAAUAUAA
Molecule: transfer RNA, 69 nt
Filed under: Megaxyela euchroma
Lineage: Eukaryota; Metazoa; Arthropoda; Insecta; Hymenoptera; Xyelidae
Description: tRNA-Gln
Source: RNAcentral